Hippocampus zosterae (dwarf seahorse) is the source of this 380-nucleotide long non-coding RNA. RefSeq lists it as uncharacterized. Lineage: Eukaryota; Metazoa; Chordata; Actinopteri; Syngnathiformes; Syngnathidae. The record is from RefSeq and is a predicted model, not a curated record. The transcript is spliced from 3 exons.
AUUGUGCUGAUCCAUUCUGAAGACGCGUCCUGCGUCCUACAUAAACUGUUUGCUCGCUCGCUUGUGUGUGUGUGCCGUUCCACCGGCUCAGCUUCACUGUGAUUGUCAGACGUUUUCCUGCCUUCUCUGACCCAGCAGAAUUUUGGGUGUGCAACAGAGGGGUGAUUGGGGGAGUCGUUUCAAGACCCCUAUAAUACCCACAUUUUCAGCAGGAUAUUUGCCAAUAUUGGUGGCCCAAGCAUGCGAAAUGAAACACGCCAAAGAGGUGUGGUAUCCUAUGAGCCCUAAUCAGACACGGGGUGAUCUGGACUAUUGGACUGAGAGCUGGACUGUCAUUAAUGCAUCGAAAUCCACAAUCGAACACAGAAUCUGAAUAUUCA